This 831-nucleotide ribosomal RNA is filed under the name uncultured marine bacterium. Its description in RNAcentral is "bacterial SSU rRNA". It matches the Rfam family "Bacterial small subunit ribosomal RNA", at positions 57 to 886 of the family's 1533-position model. The record is from RNAcentral.
GCAAGUCGAACGGUAACAUAAGAGCUUGCUCUUGAUGACGAGUGGCGCACGGGUGAGUAACGCGUAUGCAAUCUACCUAUAACUGAGGGAUAGCCCAGAGAAAUUUGGAUUAAUACCUCAUAAUAAUAUUUUUUGGCAUCAUUAAAUAUUUAAAACUCCGGUGGUUAUAGAUGAGCAUGCGUUCUAUUAGUUUGUUGGUGAGGUAAAGGCUCACCAAGACUACGAUAGAUAGGGGGCCUGAAAGGGUGAUCCCCCACACUGGUACUGAGACACGGACCAGACUCCUACGGGAGGCAGCAGUGAGGAAUAUUGCACAAUGGAGGAAACUCUGAUGCAGCCAUGCCGCGUGCAGGAUGACGGCCCUAUGGGUUGUAAACUGCUUUUUUACAAGAAGAAACCUUGGUACGUGUACCAACUUGACGGUAUUGUAAGAAUAAGCACCGGCUAACUCCGUGCCAGCAGCCGCGGUAAUACGGAGGGUGCAAGCGUUAUCCGGAUUUAUUAGGUUUAAAGGGUUCGCAGGCGGAAUUUUAAGUCAGUGGUGAAAGCCUAUAGCUCAACUAUAGAACUGCCAUUGAUACUGAGAUUCUUGAGUAUAGAUGAAGUGGGCGGAAUAUGUCAUGUAGCGGUGAAAUGCAUAGAUAUGACAUGGAACACCAAUUGCGAAGGCAGCUCACUAAACUAUUACUGACGCUCAUGAACGAAAGCAUGGGGAGCGAACAGGAUUAGAUACCCUGGUAGUCCAUGCUGUAAACUAUGAUCACUAGAUGUUGGCGAUAUAUUGUCAGUGUUUUAGAGAAAUCGUUAAGUGAUCCACCUGGGGAGUACGUU